AACGAACGCUGGCGGCAGGCUUAACACAUGCAAGUCGAACGCCCCGCAAGGGGAGUGGCAGACGGGUGAGUAACGCGUGGGAAUCUACCCAUCUCUGCGGAAUAGCUCUGGGAAGCUGGAAUUAAUACCGCAUACGCCCUACGGGGGAAAGAUUUAUCGGGGAUGGAUGAGCCCGCGUUGGAUUAGCGAGUUGGUGGGGUAAAGGCCUACCAAGGCGACGAUCCAUAGCUGGUCUGAGAGGAUGAUCAACCACAUUGGGACUGAGACACGGCCCAAACUCCUACGGGAGGCAGCAGUGGGGAAUAUUGGACAAUGGGCGCAAGCCUGAUCCAGCCAUGCCGCGUGAGUGAUGAAGGCCUUAGGGUUGUAAAGCUCUUUCACCGAUGAAGAUAAUGACGGUAGUCGGAGAAGAAGCCCCGGCUAACUUCGUGCCAGCAGCCGCGGUAA
RNAcentral lists this ribosomal RNA (447 nucleotides) under uncultured bacterium. Its description in RNAcentral is "partial 16S ribosomal RNA". It matches the Rfam family "Bacterial small subunit ribosomal RNA", at positions 29 to 523 of the family's 1533-position model. The record is from RNAcentral.